UUCGCCCUUAGAGUUUGAUCCUGGCUCAGGAUGAACGCUGGCGGCGUGCUUAACACAUGCAAGUCGAACGAAGCACCUUGAUUUGAUUCUUCGGAUGAAGAUCUUGGUGACUGAGUGGCGGACGGGUGAGUAACGCGUGGGUAACCUGCCUCAUACAGGGGGAUAACAGUUAGAAAUGACUGCUAAUACCGCAUAAGACCACAGCACCGCAUGGUGCAGGGGUAAAAACUCCGGUGGUAUGAGAUGGACCCGCGUCUGAUUAGGUAGUUGGUGGGGUAACGGCCUACCAAGCCGACGAUCAGUAGCCGACCUGAGAGGGUGACCGGCCACAUUGGGACUGAGACACGGCCCAAACUCCUACGGGAGGCAGCAGUGGGGAAUAUUGCACAAUGGGCGAAAGCCUGAUGCAGCGACGCCGCGUGAGCGAAGAAGUAUUUCGGUAUGUAAAGCUCUAUCAGCAGGGAAGAAAAUGACGGUACCUGACUAAGAAGCCCCGGCUAACUACGUGCCAGCAGCCGCGGUAAUACGUAGGGGGCAAGCGUUAUCCGGAUUUACUGGGUGUAAAGGGAGCGUAGACGGAUGGACAAGUCUGAUGUGAAAGGCUGGGGCUCAACCCCGGGACUGCAUUGGAAACUGCCCGUCUUGAGUGCCGGAGAGGUAAGCGGAAUUCCCGGUGUAGCGGUGGAAUGCGUAGAUAUCGGGAGGAACACCAGUGGCGAAGGCGACCUACUGGGCACCAACUGACGCUGAGGCUCGAAAGCAUGGGUAGCAAACAGGAUUAGAUACCCUGGUAGUCCAUGCCGUAAACGAUGAUUACUAGGUGUUGGAAGAUUGACCCCCUUUCAGUUGCCGCCGGUUACCACAUUAAGUAAUUCCACCUUGGGGAGUACGCCGCAAAGGUUAAACUCAAAGGAAUUGACGGGGGCCCGCACAAGCAGUGGAGUAUGUGGUUUAAUUCGAAGCAACGCGAAGAACCUUACCAGGUCUUGGACAUCGAGUGACGAAUCUAGAGAUAGAUUUUUCCUUCGGGACACAAAGACAGGUGGUGCAUGGUUGUCGUCAGCUCGUGUCGUGAGAUGUUGGGUUAAGUCCCGCAACGAGCGCAACCCUUGCUAUUAGUUGCUACGCAAGAGCACUCUAAUAGGACUGCCGUUGACAAAACGGAGGAAGGUGGGGACGACGUCAAAUCAUCAUGCCCCUUCUGACCUGGGCUACACACGUACUACAAUGGAUGUAAACAGAGGGAAGCAAAAUAGCGAUAUGGAGCAAACCCCAAAAAGCAUUCUCAGUUCAGAUUGCAGGCUGCAACUCGCCUGUAUGAAGUUGGAAUUGCUAGUAAUCGCGGAUCAGCAUGCCGCGGUGAAUACGUUCCCGGGCCUUGCACUCACCGCCCGUCA
This 1397-nucleotide ribosomal RNA is filed under the name uncultured bacterium. RNAcentral describes it as "16S ribosomal RNA". It matches the Rfam family "Bacterial small subunit ribosomal RNA". The record is from RNAcentral.